RNAcentral lists this ribosomal RNA (301 nucleotides) under uncultured bacterium. RNAcentral's name for it is "partial 16S ribosomal RNA". It matches the Rfam family "Bacterial small subunit ribosomal RNA", at positions 509 to 808 of the family's 1533-position model. The record is from RNAcentral.
CAGUCGCCGCGGUAAUACGAAGGGGGCAAGCGUUAUCCGGAAUUAUUGGGCGUAAAGGGUACGUAGGUGGCCUUUUAAGCGUAGGGUAUAAGGCAAUGGCUCAACCAUUGUUCGCCCUAUGAACUGGAAGGCUUGAGUGCAGGAGAGGAAAGCGGAAUUCCUAGUGUAGCGGUGGAAUGCAUAGAUAUUAGGAGGAACAUCAGCGGCGAAGGCGGCUUUCUGGACUGCAACUGACACUGAGGUACGAAAGCGUGGGGAGCAAACAGGAUUAGAGACCCGAGUAGUCCCUGUCUCUUAUACC